AGAUUGAACGCUAGCGGGAUGCUUUACACAUGCAAGUCGAACGGCAGCGCGGACUUCGGUCUGGCGGCGAGUGGCGAACGGGUGAGUAAUAUAUCGGAACGUGCCCAGUAGCGGGGGAUAACUACGCGAAAGCGUGGCUAAUACCGCAUACGCCCUACGGGGGAAAGGGGGGGAUUCUUCGGAACCUCUCACUAUUGGAGCGGCCGAUAUCAGAUUAGCUAGUUGGUGAGGUAAAGGCUCACCAAGGCGACGAUCUGUAGCUUGGUUUGAGAGGACGACCAGCCA
This 285-nucleotide ribosomal RNA is filed under the name uncultured soil bacterium. RNAcentral describes it as "partial 16S ribosomal RNA". It matches the Rfam family "Bacterial small subunit ribosomal RNA", at positions 26 to 310 of the family's 1533-position model. The record is from RNAcentral.